GACGAACGCUGGCGGCGUGCCUAAUACAUGCAAGUUGAGCGCUGAAGGUUGGUACUUGUACCGACUGGAUGAGCAGCGAACGGGUGAGUAACGCGUGGGGAAUCUGCCUUUGAGCGGGGGACAACAUUUGGAAACGAAUGCUAAUACCGCAUAAAAACUUUAAACACAAGUUUUAAGUUUGAAAGAUGCAAUUGCAUCACUCAAAGAUGAUCCCGCGUUGUAUUAGCUAGUUGGUGAGGUAAAAGCUCACCAAGGCGAUGAUACAUAGCCGACCUGAGAGGGUGAUCGGCCACAUUGGGACGGAGACACGGCCCAAACUCCUACGGGAGGCAGCAGUAGGGAAUCUUCGGCAAUGGACGAAAGUCUGACCGAGCAACGCCGCGUGAGUGAAGAAGGUUUUCGGAUCGUAAAACUCUGUUGGUAGAGAAGAACGUUGGUGAGAGUGGAAAGCUCAUCAAGUGACGGUAACUACCCAGAAAGGGACAGCUAACUACGUGCCAGCAGCCGCCGUAA
Molecule: ribosomal RNA, 513 nt
Filed under: uncultured bacterium
Lineage: Bacteria
Description: partial 16S ribosomal RNA
Rfam family: Bacterial small subunit ribosomal RNA
Source: RNAcentral